This is a long non-coding RNA of Notolabrus celidotus (New Zealand spotty), 1917 nucleotides long. RefSeq lists it as uncharacterized. The transcript is spliced from 4 exons. The record is from RefSeq and is a predicted model, not a curated record. NCBI's taxonomy places the organism in Eukaryota, Metazoa, Chordata, Actinopteri, Labriformes, Labridae.
GGAAACAGAGUUUUAGGUCACUGAAAAUUGAGGUUUUUGAAAAGUUUUUAAAGAUUUUUAAGAACUCAGUUCUUUGCAAAAAUUUGUAUUUGUAGGGACAACAGAUGGGAACAUUCUGGGAGAUACUGUCAUUAAGUUUAUUUGCAUGUUCCAUUGGAAACCUAGCUGUCCUUUAUCAUCAUCAUCAUCAUGAUACCCGAUGGCGAAUAAAUACUUGAUGUUAUUCAUUUUUAAUUUAAAUUAUACAAUUAACAAUAGCAGCUUCCUCAAGAGGAUGCUCAGUUCACAUGCGCACUUAUUUUUCUAUUGUGUUCAAAGUGACAGACUGAUUACACAUUAUUCCCACCUAGUCUGCACUAAUGUCCAUAUGAUAUUGAUAUUGAUAUUGAUGUGAUGUUGCUUUUUCACUGCCAUGUUGGUAUCUUAAUUUUAUUUAUUGUAUUAUUGGUAUUGUUGUGUCAUUGGUAUGCCUCAGUGACAUGGUUUCUUAUCUUGAUAGUGGGCAUGUUAUGUUAUGUUGGUAUGUUGAAUGAAUGUAUUGUUUGUGAGCAGCACUGCACUUAAGUCCACGACAAAUUUCCCCCUGGGGACAAUAAAGUUUUAUCUUAUCUUAGUGGCCUGGUAUACCCAUGUGGGCAUUUUCAACGGAUUCUGCAUCAUCAUGAGGACAGAAAAAUAUUCAGAAAACCCCACUGGUGUGGAUUGUAUUUUUCUGAAACAGAGAGAAGAAUCAAUUUUGCGUGGACGUAGCAUUAACUGCACAACAUAUACAAGCCUUUGUUUUUUUUAAAUCGCUGCUUUUGUCAAUACCUGUUGUUGAAAAUCAAACCUGGGCUGUUUGGUUAGUGUCGGCAUCAUGCUCUUAUCAUGAGUGUCACUCAAGGUCAAGGGGUCUUUAGCCACUAGCUUUAUGUCAGCAUGUUGCCUUUGUAAGUGCUUGGAAAGAUUUAAUGUGUUAUAUUUGUGUGAAGGGAAAAGUGGCCAGGGCUAGGUUUACAUUUACUGUGACAUUCUUGUCCUUUCCUGCAACAAAUGAAAAAUAAUGUGCAUAUCUCCGAGCCUCAAAAGAUGCCUUUAUUUGCCAUGCUCUGUUGUUUUUGCUCUCCCUCUUCAUGAACUCGAGCAACUGCCACAGACCCAUAAAGUCAGGUAGUGAUGUGGAAGCGUGAACGAAAAGACAAAUGUAAUCCAUGUGCAGAGCUUUGAAGAUUACGGAGCCCGGGGCUCCGUAGAAGAUAAAUUAACAGAAGAACAAAACACAAAAAGGUCAAACAGAAACAGAAGGGCUCCAACAACACAAGGGAGGAAACACAGAAGCUAACUACACACUAACGAGCAACAGGUGUGGACAGGACCAUUUAACAAACUGAAAGAUGCUCCACAAUGGCUGAGGGGAAACGAUUUAGAGGUUGGCUGAGGAGAGAGGACCUGAAGAUGUGCAAAUGAAUGAAUUAAAAAGCAGCCAGGGUGGGCAGGACUCUAAUGCGAAGGAUCUCAUCUCAAUCUGUGGGCAAUCAGCAACUUAGGAAUGAACUCACUAGCUCUACUGCUGUUGCCAGGAAUGUGGGAGAGGAUCUUGUAUGGUUGGGGUCCAGCAGCUCCUCAGUAUUUCAUUAUUUCCCGACUCUCAAGACCAGCCUGAGAGAGAAAACAACAUGUUGCCACAGUGUCAACAUGCAGCCCCCUUUCUACUGAUUGAUUUGAUGCAAUGUGUGUGAUCAGGGUGUCCCUAGCAUUGCAUUUUCUGUUGAGAAUAGAUUACCCUUGUCAUGGGAUUUUAACCAGAAUCAUGUAUUCAACAAAGCCAAGUAUUAAUCCAGAAUAAAGUGUUAAAUUGAAAAUGCUUUUCUUAGUUCAGAGAGAUCUGUCUACUGUUAAUGUUCUGUCUACUUAAAAGCUUUUCUGAAAUAUUUUAUA